This 587-nucleotide ribosomal RNA is filed under the name Nostoc sp. MZ73.6SOIL. RNAcentral's name for it is "bacterial SSU rRNA". It matches the Rfam family "Bacterial small subunit ribosomal RNA", at positions 122 to 741 of the family's 1533-position model. Lineage: Bacteria; Bacillati; Cyanobacteriota; Cyanophyceae; Nostocales; Nostocaceae. The record is from RNAcentral.
GAAUCUGGCUUCAGGUCGGGGACAACCACUGGAAACGGUGGCUAAUACCGGAUGUGCCGAAAGGUAAAAGAUUUAUCGUCUGAAGAUGAGCUCGCGUCUGAUUAGCUAGUAGGUGGGGUAAAAGCCUACCUAGGCGACGAUCAGUAGCUGGUCUGAGAGGAUGACCAGCCACACUGGGACUGAGACACGGCCCAGACUCCUACGGGAGGCAGCAGUGGGGAAUUUUCCGCAAUGGGCGAAAGCCUGACGGAGCAAUACCGCGUGAGGGAGGAAGGCUCUUGGGUUGUAAACCUCUUUUCUCAAGGAAGAAAAAAAUGACGGUACUUGAGGAAUCAGCAUCGGCUAACUCCGUGCCAGCAGCCGCGGUAAUACGGAGGAUGCAAGCGUUAUCCGGAAUGAUUGGGCGUAAAGCGUCCGCAGGUGGCUGUGUAAGUCUGCUGUCAAAGCGCGAGGCUCAACCUCGUAAAGGCAGUGGAAACUACACGGCUAGAGUGCGUUCGGGGCAGAGGGAAUUCCUGGUGUAGCGGUGAAAUGCGUAGAUAUCAGGAAGAACACCGGUGGCGAAAGCGCUCUGCUAGGCCGCAACU